This 1376-nucleotide ribosomal RNA is filed under the name uncultured bacterium. RNAcentral describes it as "bacterial SSU rRNA". It matches the Rfam family "Bacterial small subunit ribosomal RNA", at positions 27 to 1393 of the family's 1533-position model. The record is from RNAcentral.
GAUUGAACGCUGGCGGCAGGCCUAACACAUGCAAGUCGAACGGUAACAGGAAGCAGCUUGCUGCUUCGCUGACGAGUGGCGGACGGGUGAGUAAUGUCUGGGAAACUGCCUGAUGGAGGGGGAUAACUACUGGAAACGGUAGCUAAUACCGCAUAACGUCGCAAGACCAAAGAGGGGGACCUUCGGGCCUCUUGCCAUCGGAUGUGCCCAGAUGGGAUUAGCUAGUAGGUGGGGUAACGGCUCACCUAGGCGACGAUCCCUAGCUGGUCUGAGAGGAUGACCAGCCACACUGGAACUGAGACACGGUCCAGACUCCUACGGGAGGCAGCAGUGGGGAAUAUUGCACAAUGGGCGCAAGCCUGAUGCAGCCAUGCCGCGUGUAUGAAGAAGGCCUUCGGGUUGUAAAGUACUUUCAGCGGGGAGGAAGGCGAUAAGGUUAAUAACCUUGUCGAUUGACGUUACCCGCAGAAGAAGCACCGGCUAACUCCGUGCCAGCAGCCGCGGUAAUACGGAGGGUGCAAGCGUUAAUCGGAAUUACUGGGCGUAAAGCGCACGCAGGCGGUCUGUCAAGUCGGAUGUGAAAUCCCCGGGCUCAACCUGGGAACUGCAUUCGAAACUGGCAGGCUAGAGUCUUGUAGAGGGGGGUAGAAUUCCAGGUGUAGCGGUGAAAUGCGUAGAGAUCUGGAGGAAUACCGGUGGCGAAGGCGGCCCCCUGGACAAAGACUGACGCUCAGGUGCGAAAGCGUGGGGAGCAAACAGGAUUAGAUACCCUGGUAGUCCACGCCGUAAACGAUGUCGACUUGGAGGUUGUGCCCUUGAGGCGUGGCUUCCGGAGCUAACGCGUUAAGUCGACCGCCUGGGGAGUACGGCCGCAAGGUUAAAACUCAAAUGAAUUGACGGGGGCCCGCACAAGCGGUGGAGCAUGUGGUUUAAUUCGAUGCAACGCGAAGAACCUUACCUACUCUUGACAUCCAGAGAACUUAGCAGAGAUGCUUUGGUGCCUUCGGGAACUCUGAGACAGGUGCUGCAUGGCUGUCGUCAGCUCGUGUUGUGAAAUGUUGGGUUAAGUCCCGCAACGAGCGCAACCCUUAUCCUUUGUUGCCAGCGGUUAGGCCGGGAACUCAAAGGAGACUGCCAGUGAUAAACUGGAGGAAGGUGGGAAUGACGUCAAGUCAUCAUGGCCCUUACGAGUAGGGCUACACACGUGCUACAAUGGCGCAUACAAAGAGAAGCGACCUCGCGAGAGCAAGCGGACCUCAUAAAGUGCGUCGUAGUCCGGAUUGGAGUCUGCAACUCGACUCCAUGAAGUCGGAAUCGCUAGUAAUCGUGGAUCAGAAUGCCACGGUGAAUACGUUCCCGGGCCUUGUACACACCGC